GGCUUGAAAGGUUUUGUUUAUUAAAGGAAUACAUGUAAACACCAAUACAAUAUAAUACAUGUUUAAGGAAAAUAAUAAAGACAGAAGUAGGAUUUUUUUUUUGUGCAAUUAACUCCAGACUGUGAUUCCUUAAGCAAAACCACCAUCCGAGUCAGUUGUGAAGUUACAAAAACCUAUAAAGGCUCACUUCUGGCAAGCCAUCUCACCAAAUGCCCCAUUCCUUCUAGACUCUGUCAUCACGAUUCCCUCACUACUAACAUACUCGAGAAAGGAAUAUCUGUGUCAUUACCUAAACCAAAUGUGAGUGACGGGUCCCCUGGUUUCUGCUAGAAGAGCGUGUUCCUUCUGCUGCUCACAAAACCAGCUUGUGCUCCUGUGCUAUCUUAUCCUGCCUUUACUUGCAACCAGCACACGGGCGCAACCUGAACAAGAAAAGCAUUUUAAAGCAACAUGGAAAAUAUUUGUUCUGCAGUUAUCACCAGGCGAAUGCAAUGGGACAGAUCAACGUGGGCAAUGACAUUAUAAUGGCUGGGCUAGAGAGCCCCAGGGAAGGAGGCAGGCGGCUGAGGGAAGGGAGGCUUCCCUUGAGCAACGAGCCCUCUCCAAAGUCACAGCCAGGGCAGUGCUGGAAGGAAGCUCUGGAUCACAUUGGUCUCCGCAUUAGAGAUUUCCGACCCGCUCGGCGCAGGAAGUUGUUCCUGUGGCUCACCUGAGGGAGUUCCUGUUAUGAAGCCAGAGGGUGGUAGGUUGAGACACAGUUUCUGAGAGUGAUGUAAUCUUGGACAGCACGCCGUAGGCAGUGAUACUAGUGACCUGGUUACAACCUGCAGUGUUGUCACAGCCCCUGUGCUGGCCUGGUGAUCACAAGAAAGGGAAGAAAAGGCAAAAAAAAAAAAAGAGGGGAGUGGAAUAAUUUAAAGGGGGGGGGGGGGGGGGGGGAAGAGUUUCCAGAUUUCCUUUGUUUAAGUGAGGCAUUUUCCUUUUCCACUUUAUUUGAAUACACAGACCUGGUGUCUAACAGAUGGAGACUGUGCAGAUGCACUUUUGGGAGUGCCCAUAAAAUACACUACUCAAAUACAAACAGAGGGAUACUUCCCCCCCCCCCGUUUUUUUUUUUUUUUGGAGUUGUAAAUUCAAUAAUCAUUGCUGUCACCUCAUUUUCCCAAAGGAAUUUGCCCUUUGUUCUCCGGAUAAAGCUGGGGAGAAGAAGAAAAAGGAGGGAAAAAAAAGAGAGUGAGAGCAAAGGAAACAUUUGGGAAAAAA
Molecule: long non-coding RNA, 1263 nt
Filed under: Strigops habroptila (Kakapo)
Lineage: Eukaryota; Metazoa; Chordata; Aves; Psittaciformes; Psittacidae
Description: lncRNA (ENSSHBG00005005730.1)
Source: RNAcentral